This 240-nucleotide unclassified non-coding RNA is filed under the name soil metagenome. RNAcentral's name for it is "partial contains 5.8S ribosomal RNA, internal transcribed spacer 2, and large subunit ribosomal RNA". The record is from RNAcentral.
AACCAUAGAAACCUGCGGAGUACCUGCGGAGGGAUCAUUACAGAGUUGCAAAACUCCCUAAACCACUGUGAACGUUACCUAAACCGUUGCUUCGGCGGGCGGCCCGGGUCCUUCCCGGCGCCCAUCGGCCCUCGCGGGCGCCCGCCGGAGGUAAACCAAACUAUUGCAUUGUAUGGCCUCUCUGAGUCUUCUGUACUGAAUAAGUCAAAACUUUCAACAACGGAUCUCAGAUCGGAAGAG